RNAcentral lists this non-coding RNA (66 nucleotides) under uncultured Cypionkella sp. RNAcentral describes it as "SAM riboswitch (alpha-proteobacteria)". It matches the Rfam family "Alpha-proteobacteria SAM riboswitch aptamer", at positions 10 to 70 of the family's 79-position model. Rfam says of the family: This family is a riboswitch found predominantly in alpha-proteobacteria that binds S-adenosyl methionine (SAM). This SAM riboswitch is located upstream of the metA and metC genes in Agrobacterium tumefaciens, and other methionine and SAM biosynthesis genes in other alpha-proteobacteria. The record is from RNAcentral. Lineage: Bacteria; Pseudomonadati; Pseudomonadota; Alphaproteobacteria; Rhodobacterales; Paracoccaceae.
AGCCCGUGGCGCUUUGUUACCGGAUUGCGGGCCACGUUAAACAUUCCGCUAAAAGGGUCAGGGUUU